UAGUGAGUUUGAUCCUGGCUCAGAACGAACGUUCGCGGCGCGCUUAACACAUGCAAGUCGCACGAGAAAGGGCUUCGGCCCCGGUACAGUGGCGCACGGGUGAGUAACACGUAACUGACCUACCCCGUAGUCCCGCACAACGGUCCGAAAGGACCGCUAAUUCGGGAUGUGAACCCGCACCGUGGUGCGUGUUUAAAGAUUCAUCGCUAUGGGAUGGGGUUGCGGCGCAUCAGCUCGUUGGUGAGGUAAAGGCUCACCAAGGCAACGACGCGUAACCGGCCUGAGAGGGUGGUCGGUCACAGGGGCACUGAGACACGGGG
Molecule: ribosomal RNA, 320 nt
Filed under: uncultured bacterium
Lineage: Bacteria
Description: bacterial SSU rRNA
Rfam family: Bacterial small subunit ribosomal RNA
Source: RNAcentral